This is a long non-coding RNA of Dromaius novaehollandiae (emu), 964 nucleotides long. RefSeq lists it as uncharacterized. Lineage: Eukaryota; Metazoa; Chordata; Aves; Casuariiformes; Dromaiidae. The record is from RefSeq and is a predicted model, not a curated record. The transcript is spliced from 3 exons.
UUUCAAGCGCAAAUGUUACAUGCUAGUUUUAUACUAAUGAUUACCCAUUUCUCUGUAGAUCUCUGCAGAUCUUGCUGUUGCCAGUAAGAAAGUCUAACAUCAUUCUUUCACUUGUAAGAGAAUCUGGUAAUUCGAGCAUCAGCUACUGCUCUGCAAAUUCUGUCUACCUUGAAGAGCUCUGUGAAAAUAUAAUCUGAUGGCUCAGGAUGCUGUACGAUUUUUCCUCGCUUCCACUCUCCUCCGCUCUCUAGUGGCUACUAACACACGCGCUGCUUAAAUGAUAACUGUAAAUGAGAGAACACUGCGUUCCCUGCAAACCUGAAGACUUCUCUGCCAUUGUUUUAUGGGCAAAUAUGUGUACAUGAUGCAAAGAAAGGAGAGGAAUGGGAGGCAAACGGAGCAGCUGUGCAGCGCCCCAACGCGUGACUGGGAUUUACCGUCUGGGCAGCGGUGCUGGGCUGCCAAGGGUUUCCGCCAGCGCUUCAUCUCCCACCUGCCUGCUGUGAGGUGCCCUCGCAGGACCUCCUCGCACUGUUCCACCCACAGGAUGAGGCGUAGAGGAGGCUUCUUAAAGAACAGCGUUUGAAAACACAUGCUUUCAGGCACUAACAUGUUUCUGGAUAACAAGUUUCUUUUAAAAGGAGUGUUGAAGUACGUGGAAACAUUUGAUUAGCUGAAGUUGUGCAAUGCUGCCUCUCCGCAAACAGUGAGAUACAAAACUUGGAGAAACUCUUCACUGCUGAAAAUGGUCAUGUCAUUUCCAGGGUGGAUGUACUGGAAAGAAAGAUUUGGUUUAAAUCAAGUCUAAAAUACAGCAACUGCCAACUCUCAGUUUUAAAUAGACUUUUUAAUUUUUUUUUCCUGUUCUGCUGACCUUUUCCAGUGUAAUUCCAUUCUGUUCAGUCUCUGGGUUUUUACAUUUACAUAAAAUCUUCCAACAGUAAAUUAAGUUACAUGGCUAAAA